UCCAACCACUCGGAGCCUCCCGCGUUGCCUGUACAACAUACUCGGUUCUCGGGCAAAUGACUUCGUCCGACACGCUCGUCCGCUCCCCUCGCCUUUGUGCGGGCGCGGAGCGGCAACGUCGGCGGUCCUCGUGCUCCCUCGGACGACGGCACGGCUUUGGCCCCUCGUCUCGUCCCGAUCGGCCCUCGAGGAUUCGCCAGCGCUCGCGGACACGGUAGACAAUGUUGGCUCGGGGCCUUCGUAGCCCCCGCACCACGAUCGGUCGGCUCACUUCGCCGCCCUCGACGAGACGACCGUCGGGCCCGUCGUCCCCCCACCAC
RNAcentral lists this unclassified non-coding RNA (320 nucleotides) under Heliconia atratensis. Its description in RNAcentral is "partial external transcribed spacer". The record is from RNAcentral. Lineage: Eukaryota; Viridiplantae; Streptophyta; Magnoliopsida; Zingiberales; Heliconiaceae.